Long non-coding RNA from Solea senegalensis (Senegalese sole), 1275 nucleotides. RefSeq lists it as uncharacterized. NCBI's taxonomy places the organism in Eukaryota, Metazoa, Chordata, Actinopteri, Pleuronectiformes, Soleidae. The record is from RefSeq and is a predicted model, not a curated record. The transcript has 2 exons.
UUUGUGUUUCUGCACUUGCCAAUAUGACCAACAGAGGGCGCCAGAGGCUUAUUGCGUGGAUGUGGUGACGUCUGCCGUCUCUGAUCGCCUUGUUUUACUGAUGAAAAGUGGAAAGAAGUGCCAAAAUUGCAGGGUGAUGAGUAUCAAUAAAGUCCCCUCAAAUUGGUGGAACUUCCUUAGAGACAACAACAAGGCUAUCCGAGAUGGCAGACUUCACCCCAUUCACGCAACAAGCCUCUGUCGGCCUAUAGGGUCAAAAUUCUAAAAAGGAUAUUCUAAAUUCUAACAAGCUUGGCUGACAAGAUAUCCCAGAUGUGUGCCACAAACAUUGUCAGAUUGCUGUGCGCAAUCACCCAAUAAGCCUGGUGAAAAUGGCCCCCUGCAGUCAUGAGGAAGCUGACACUAGAAUAGACCAGGCAAGUAGUAGAGGAGGGUUGCCUUUGGCCAAGGCCUGAAUCUGAGGUGGAUUCCCAUCCAUGAACUCUUUUUGUCUAUUGGAUUGCAGAAGAGCAAAGGCAUUCUCCUCUUCCAUGCCUUCACUGGCUGCGAUGUUGUGUCAGCCUUCCGUGGUAAAGGCAAGAAGACUGCAUGGCAAACCUGGGAUGUUUGUCCUGAGGCCUCUGAUGCUUUCAGCAAACUCAAAAGCCAGUAUCCACCAACAAUACACGAUUCUGACAUGAAGACAUUGGAAAACUUUGUGGUCAUGACAUAUGACAGAUCCAGUAUAGCUGAUGGUGUUGAUGACGCAAGGUUAAACAUGUUUGCUCGGAAGCAGAGGCCAUAAGAAGCAUCCCUCCUACUCAAGCUGCUCUACUCCAACAUGUAUCAGGCAGGUUGCAUAUCAGGGUCAAUCACUAGUCAAACAGGAAAACAAAGUCCUACUCGCUGGGGAUGGACGAAGAAAGUUGAUCUGUGGCAGAUCUUUUGGACCAAUCUCACCCCUAUUGCAGAAAGUUGCCAAGAACUGACCAAGGGUGGUUGCAAAUUGAAUGUCAUGGAAGGUGCAAAUGCUAAUGCUUUGAUCUUACUUGCACAGUAUUGUGUAGCUGUAGAUGUGAAGAUUAAGUUCUGUUCCAUACAUUAGUUAGAGCAUGGUUUAGGUGAUUAUAUAUUCUAACACAACUGUUGAUUGGAAAAUGUUAAGGUUUAUUUACAUUAUAUAUCUUUGAUCAUAAGAGUUUUUGUUGUAUGCCACGCUGUACAAAUGAUAUGUACAACAGUAAGCAAAGGAUUCAGCUCCUCAUGAGCAAAUAAAUUGACCAUUUUUGUACACGU